Molecule: ribosomal RNA, 767 nt
Filed under: uncultured Ascobolus
Lineage: Eukaryota; Fungi; Ascomycota; Pezizomycetes; Pezizales; Ascobolaceae
Description: SSU rRNA
Rfam family: Eukaryotic small subunit ribosomal RNA
Source: RNAcentral
UUAGCAUGGAAUAAUAGAAUAGGAUGUGUGGUUCUAUUUUGUUGGUUUCUAGGACCGCCGUAAUGAUUAAUAUGGAUAGUCGGGGGCAUCAGUAUUCAAUUGUCAGAGGUGAAAUUCUUGGAUUAAUUGAAGACUAGCUACUGUGAAAGCAUUGCCCAAGGAUGUUUUCAUUAAUCAGUGAACGAAAGUUAGGGGAUGGAAGACGAUCAGACACCGUCGUAGUCUUAACCAUAAAUUAUGCCGACUAGGGAUCGGUCGGGAUUCUUUUUUGACCCGUUCGGCACCCUCCGAGAAAUCAAAGUCUUUGGGUUGUGGGGGGAGUAUGGUCGCAAGGAUGAAACUUAAAGGAAUUGACGGAAGGGCACCCCCCGGAGUGGAGCGUGCGGCUUAAUUUGACUCAACACGGGGAAACUCACCAGGUCCAGACACACUAAGGAUUGACAGACUGAGAGCUCUUUCUUGAUCAUGUGGGUGGUGGUGCAUGCCCGUUCUUAGUUGGUGGAGUGAUUUGUUUGUUUAAUUGCGAUAACGAACGAGACCUUAACUUGCUAAAUAGCCAGGCCAGCUCUUGCCGGUCGCGGGCUUCUUAGAGGGACUAUCGGGUUCUAAACCGAUGGAAGUUUGAGGCAAUAACAGGUCUGUGAUGCCCUUAGAUGUUUUGGGCCGCACGCGCGCUACACUGACAGAGCCAACGAGUUCUUUACCUUGGCCGGAAGGUCUGGGUAAUCUUGUUAAACUCUGUCGUGCUGGGGAUAGAGCAUUGCAAU